UGACGGGACUGAAAAACAUAAAAUAUCCGCUUUUAAUGUGCCUCCCGUGCAGAAAAAAGAGGCCAAGUUGUCCCAGUGGGAGUAUUUGGACGCCGAAAAAGUGCAAACGCUGCUCACACUGACCGAUCAAAAGGAAAUUUUCGAGUAUAUUGGAAGAAUGUUUACAAAUGUGGAAAACUUCUGCAGGGUGUUACAGAAUAAGAUGCUGAUCCUUUUUGAUGUAGUCCCUCGUUUUAGGUUCAACUCUGAAAAACUACCCAACGGGACGCCCAAAAGACUUUUUCAUCCAACUUCUAUCGGACGUGACCAAAUUCUGCCAAAGUCAAUCGUACGAUCUUGAAAAGGUCGCCUCCGUAUUAUCACAGUUUUAUUUAACUCAUAACUACUUCACCAGCAGCGUGGACGUAUCGGCGGAAAAAGUUUACAUUUAUUUUAAAGAUUUAAUGAUGUGCCACAGUUUGCCCUUUCCUCCAUGCAAGAAGAAAAUAUUCACUUUAAACGAGGCGAGGGAUAUUCUCGAAUUUUUCUGUAGGAUUUACACGAGGAAUCUACCGCUCAUAAAGUACUUGUGCCUGCCCAACUUCGCUUUGUAUCUGAAUUACGAGAUACCUCCUGCCCCUGUUUUCGUCACCAAAGGGAAAAAAGUAACAGGAAAAGAGAAGAAGGAAAAGAAAGGAAAAGGCAAAAAGAAAAAAUAAGACUUUUACUGUACAACUUAUUUAUAUAAUAUAUUACACUAUUUUUCUUC
This 748-nucleotide unclassified non-coding RNA is filed under the name Anthonomus grandis grandis. RNAcentral describes it as "uncharacterized LOC126745447". The record is from RNAcentral. Lineage: Eukaryota; Metazoa; Arthropoda; Insecta; Coleoptera; Curculionidae.